This is a long non-coding RNA of Oncorhynchus keta (chum salmon), 1719 nucleotides long. RefSeq lists it as uncharacterized. The transcript is spliced from 3 exons. Lineage: Eukaryota; Metazoa; Chordata; Actinopteri; Salmoniformes; Salmonidae. The record is from RefSeq and is a predicted model, not a curated record.
GACACAUAAACUACUGCAGCAUAAAUACUGGAGGCUGAGACAGGAGCUGUCCUACUGGAGCUGUAUGAAUGAAGUGUUUGUGAGGAGGGUUUUGUUCUACUGGAGCUGUAUGAAUGAAGUGUUUGUUGGGAGGGUUUUGUUCUACUGGAGCUGUAUGAAUAAAAUGUUUGUUUUAGGGUUUUGUUCUACUGGAGCUGUAUGAAUGAAAUAUUGUUAGGAGGGUUUUGUUCUACUGGAGCUGUAUGAAUAAAGUGUUUGUUGGGAGGGUUUUGAUCUACUGUAGCUGUAUGAUUGAAGUGUUUGUUAGGAGGGGUUUGUUCUACUGGAGCUGUAUGAUUGAAGUGUUUGUUAGGAGGGUUUUGUUCUACUGGAGCUGUAUGAAUGAAGUGUUUGUUAGGAGGGUUUUGUUCUACAGGAGCUGUAUGAAUGAAGUGUUUGUUUUAGGGUUUUGUUCUACUGGAGCUGUAUGAAGGAAGUGUUUGUUAGGAGGGUUUUAAUCUACUGGAGCUGUAUGAAUGAAGUGUUUGUGAGGAGAGUUUUGUUCUACUGGAGGUGUAGGAAUAAAGUGUUUGUUAGGAGGGUUUUGUUCUCCUGGAGGUGUUUGAAUGAAGUGUUCGUUAGGAGGGUUUUGUUCUACUGGAGCUAUAUGAAUAAAGUGUUUGUUGGGAGGGUUUUGAUCUACUGGAACUGUAUGAUUGAAGUGUUUGUUAGGAGGGGUUUGUUCUACUGGAGCUGUAUGAAUGAAGUGUUUGUUAGGAGGGUUUUAAUCUACUGGAGCUGUAUGAAUGAAGUGUUUGUUAGGAGGGUUUUUUUCAACUGGAGUUGUAUGAAUGAAGUGUUUGUUAGGAGGGUUUUGUUCAACUGGAGCUGUAUGAAUGAAGUGUUUGUGAGGAGAGUUUUGUUCUAAUGGAGCUGUAUGAAUGAAGUGUUUGUUAGGAGGGUUUUGUUCUACUGGAGCUGUAUGAAUGAAGUGUUUGUUAGGAGGGUUUUGUUCAACUGGAGUUGUAUGAAUGAAGUGUUUGUUAGGAGGGUUUUGUUCAACUGGAGCUGUAUGAAUGACGUGUUUGUGAGGAGAGUUUUGUUCUACUGGAGCUGUAUGAAUGAAGUGUUUGUUAGGAGGGUUUUGUUCUACUGGAGCUGUAUGAAUGAAGUGUUUGUUAGGAGGGUUUUGUUCUACAGGAGCUGUAUGAAUGAAGUGUUUGUUAUGAAGGUUUUGUUCUACUGGAGCUGUAUGAAUGAAGUGUUUGUUAGGAGGGUUUUGUCCUACUGGAGCUGUAUGAAUGAAGUGUUUGUGAGGAAGGUUUUGUUCUACUGUAGCUGUAUGAAUGAAGUGUUUGUUGGGAGGGUUUUGUUCUACUGGAGCUGUAUGAAUGAAAUUUUUGUUUUAGGGUUUUGUUCUACUGGAGCUGUAUGAAUGAAAUAUUGUUAGGUGGGUUUUGUUCUACUGGAGCUGUAUGAAUAAAGUGUUUGUUGGGAGGGUUUUGAUCUACUGGAGCUGUAUGAUUGAAGUGUUUGUUAGGAGGGUGUGUUCUACUGGAGCUGUAUGAUUGAAGUGUUUGUUAGGAGGGUUUUGUUCUACUGGAGCUGUAUGAAUGAAGUGUUUGUUAGGAGGGUUUUGUUCUACAGGAGCUGUAUGAAUGAAGUGUUUGUUUUAGGGUUUUGUUCUACUGGAGCUGUAUGAAGGAAGUGUUUGUUAGGAGGGUUUUAGUCUACUGGAGC